CAAUAGCGUAUAUUAAAGUUGUUGCUGUUAAAAAGCUCGUAGUUGGAUUUCUGCCGAGGACGACCGGUCCGCCCUCUGGGUGAGUAUCUGGCUCGGCCUGGGCAUCUUCUUGGAGAACGUAGCUGCACUUGACUGUGUGGUGCGGUAUCCAGGACUUUUACUUUGAGGAAAUUAGAGUGUUUCAAGCAGGCUUACGCCUUGAAUACAUUAGCAUGGAAUAAUAAGAUAGGACCUCGGUUCUAUUUUGUUGGUUUCUAGAGCUGAGGUAAUGAUUAAUAGGGAUAGUUGGGGGCAUUCGUAUUUAACUGUCAGAGGUGAAAUUCUUGCAUUUGUUAAAGAUGGACUACUGCGAAAGCAUUUGCCAAGGAUGUUUUCAUUGA
Molecule: ribosomal RNA, 380 nt
Filed under: uncultured eukaryote
Lineage: Eukaryota
Description: partial 18S ribosomal RNA
Rfam family: Eukaryotic small subunit ribosomal RNA
Source: RNAcentral